This is a long non-coding RNA of Marmota monax (woodchuck), 1452 nucleotides long. RefSeq lists it as uncharacterized. The record is from RefSeq and is a predicted model, not a curated record. NCBI's taxonomy places the organism in Eukaryota, Metazoa, Chordata, Mammalia, Rodentia, Sciuridae. The transcript is spliced from 2 exons.
CAGCCCUCCCGCCGGCCCAGCCCGCCGGGCCGCAAGCCGGGACCACCCGCGAGAAGCGCAAACUUUUUUUUUUCCUUUUGCAAAAACUUUUUCUUGCUUUAGCCGCUGGCGCGCCGCCGCUCUUCCCGCUCACCCCUCACCUCCCUCCUAUUUCUCUCCCUUUUGCUGUUCUGGUAGAUGAGGUGGGGUGGCUGGAAGCGAGCGAGGGGGUGCCGGGCUUAUUGCACCCCCAGGACCCCCAGGAUCCUCCCCCUCCCUAGAGGGACCCUAUACUGCCUAACACCCCCCCCCCUGCCCGGUUUAACACGCUGCUGGUGGUUGGCAGGAAAUUCCGGAAUGGAUUCUAGGAUCAGUCGUCAAUGAGGAGUCCCUGAACCAGAGCCAGGAAUACACUGAGAAAAAUACUGCGGAGCGAGGAAAGAAGGGAGAGAAGUUCGUACGAGAAAGAUAAUAUUGGAAGGCUUUCUGCUCCCUCUGCUGGCGGUUCUGGCACUUGACACCAUCUUGGAGUCCGGGAAAAUGCAGGCACGAUGGAGCUAAAGAAGCUUUGACAGAUCUCCCACCACCACCACCACCACAACCACGAAAACCCAGUUAGGAUCCCGGAGACGGGGAUGUACGAGCCCAAUGAAAUGGAGGGCACACUUGCGAGGCUGUUAAUGCCUAGCGGUUGUGCCUGACGAGGGGUGCCCUGUCCCUUUGGAUUUGUGUUGCCAUAGUGACUGUAUUCAGGGAUGGGGGCAGCUAUUUCAGUCUCUGGUCUUUCUGAUAAAGAAGAGAAAGCAUGAUGGCGGAAAGGAGACCCUUCCCUUUAAUGUCAUCUCUCAGACAGACCUCCCACAUCCUAGCUAUGUCUCCAAGGACCACUUUUUUAAGUCUGGAAGGUCAGUGGUCCUACAGUUCUAUCUGAGAAUCAAGGGGGAAAAGAAAAGGUGAAGCUAGGGGCAGGCCAGAGGUCCUACAACAGGGUAGUGAUUCUGGGGGUGGGGACGUAUAGGGAACACUGUUUGAGUCUGCCUCCCCACAUGACUGACUCAAACCACUUACACAUAGAAGGUCAUGGACCUUCACCCUGCACCCAAUUCAGUCAGGCUGACCAAUGGUCAUUGAAAAAAGAAGGGACACAACAUAUGCUCCCUUCCCAGAUGCCUGCCCCUUCUUCAGAGGAGCUCUUUUAGAACACACUAUAGAUCAGCAAUUCUUAAACUUUUUUAUGUUUUAAGACCUCUCUAUGCUCUUCAAAAUUAUUGAGCUUUUUUUUUUGCAUGAGAUCUAGAUCUAUCAAUUUAUCAUAUUAGAAAUUAAAACAAAAAAUUAUAACACAAGAAUACACAAGUUCACAUUCCAUUAAGAAUAAUGUUAGAAAGAUGAUGUAAUUGCUUGAAACACUCUGGAAAACUCCAUUGUACGAUUUUGAGAUAAUGAGAAUAAAAAAGACAAAUAACAUCUUAA